This 326-nucleotide ribosomal RNA is filed under the name Iconisemion striatum. RNAcentral describes it as "partial 12S ribosomal RNA". It matches the Rfam family "Bacterial small subunit ribosomal RNA", at positions 868 to 1360 of the family's 1533-position model. Lineage: Eukaryota; Metazoa; Chordata; Actinopteri; Cyprinodontiformes; Nothobranchiidae. The record is from RNAcentral.
CCCGCCUGGGAACUACGAGCAUAAGCUUAAAACCUAAAGGACUUGGCGGUGCUUUAGACCCACCUAGAGGAGCCUGUUCUACAACCGAUAACCCCCGUUAAACCUCACCUUCUUUUGUUAUUUCCGCCUAUAUACCGCCGUCGUCAGCUUACCCUGUGAAGGUUCUUCAGUAAGCAAAAUUGAUUUUUUCCAAAACGCCAGGUCGAGGUGUAGCAUAUGAGAAGGAAAGAAAUGGGCUACAUUUUCUGAUUACAGAAAACACGGAUAUUACUAUGAAACAGUAUAUAGAAGGAGGAUUUAGCAGUAAGCAGAGAAUAGAGAGCUCU